RNAcentral lists this ribosomal RNA (1443 nucleotides) under uncultured bacterium. Its description in RNAcentral is "bacterial SSU rRNA". It matches the Rfam family "Bacterial small subunit ribosomal RNA". The record is from RNAcentral.
AGAGUUUGAUCCUGGCUCAGAACGAACGCUAGCGGCAGGCCUAACACAUGCAAGUCGAACGGGUGUAAGCAAUUACAUCAGUGGCAGACGGGUGAGUAAUACAUAGGAAUCUGCCUGGCAGUAAGGAAUAGUCACUAGAAAUGGUGAGUAAUACCAUAUACGCCCCAAGGGGGAAAGAUUUAUCGCUGUCAGAUGAGCCUAUGUUGGAUUAGCUAGUUGGUAGGGUAAAGGCCUACCAAGGCUACGAUCCAUAGCUGGCCUGAGAGGGUGACCAGCCACACUGGAACUGAGAACGGUCCAGACUCCUACGGGAGGCAGCAGUGGGGAAUAUUGGGCAAUGGGCGAAAGCCUGACCCAGCCAUGCCGCAUGAGUGAUGAAGGCCUUCGGGUUGUAAAGCUCUUUUAGUGGGGAAGAGAAUGACGGUACCCACAGAAGAAGUCCUGGCUAACUCCGUGCCAGCAGCCGCGGUAAUACGGAGAGGGCGAGCGUUGUUCGGAAUUAUUGGGCGUAAGGGCGCGUAGGUGGUCUUGUAAGUCAGAAGUGAAAUCCUGGAGCUUAACUUCAGAGCUGCUUUUGAUACUGCUUGACUAGAGUGUAAAGUAGGGUAGCGGAAUUCCUAGUGUAGAGGUGAAAUUCGUAGAUAUUAGGAGGAACACCAGCGGCGAAGGCGGCUACCUGGGUUACUACUGACACUGAGGCGCGAAAGCGUGGGGAGCAAACAGGAUUAGAUACCCUGGUAGUCCACGCAGUAAACGAUGAGUGCUAGAGAUUGGGGUUUCUCGGUCUCGAAGCUAACGCGAUAAGCACUCCGCCUGGGAAGUACGGUCGCAAGACUAAAACUCAAAGGAAUUGACGGGAACCCGCACAAGCGGUGGAGCAUGUUGUUUAAUUCGAUGCGACGCGAAGAACCUUACCACCCUUUGACAUGGGGAUCGUACCUCUAUGAAAGUAGAGGGUCAGUUAGGCUGGAUCCCACACAGGUGUUGCAUGGCUGUCGUCAGCUCGUGUCGUGAGAUGUUGGGUUAAGUCCCGCAACGAGCGCAACCCCUAUCCUUAGUUGCCAACAGGCUUGGCUGGGGACUCUAAGGAGACUAUCAGCGACAAGCUGGAGGAAGGUGGGGAUGAUGUCAAGUCAUCAUGGCCCUUAUAGGGUGGGCUACAAACGUGCUACAAUGGUCGCUACAACGAGAAGCAAUGCCGCGAGGCUGAGCAAAUCUCUAAAAGCGGCCUCAGUUCAGAUUGCUCUCUGCAACUCGAGAGCAUGAAGUCGGAAUCGCUAGUAAUCGCGGAUCAGCACGCCGCGGUGAAUACGUUCUCGGGUUUUGUACACACUGCCCGUCACGCCAUGGGAGUUGAUCACACCUUAAGACGGCGAGCUAACCCGCGAGGGAGGCAACUGUCCACGGUGGGAUUGGUGACUGGGGCGAAGUCGUAACAAGGUA